This 402-nucleotide ribosomal RNA is filed under the name uncultured bacterium. RNAcentral describes it as "bacterial SSU rRNA". It matches the Rfam family "Bacterial small subunit ribosomal RNA", at positions 356 to 774 of the family's 1533-position model. The record is from RNAcentral.
GGGGAAUAUUGCGCAAUGGGGGAAACCCUGACGCAGCAACGCCGCGUGAAGGAUGAAGGUUUUCGGAUCGUAAACUUCUUUGAUGAGGGACGAAGAAUGACGGUACCUCAAAAACAAGCCACGGCUAACUACGUGCCAGCAGCCGCGGUAAUACGUAGGUGGCGAGCGUUGUCCGGAAUUACUGGGUGUAAAGGGCGUGUAGGCGGGGAUACAAGUCAGAUGUGAAAUACCGUGGCUUAACCACGGGGCUGCAUCUGAAACUGUAUUUCUUGAGUGUCGGAGAGGAAAGUGGAAUUCCCAGAGUAGCGGUGAAAUGCGUAGAUAUUGGGAGGAACACCAGUGGCGAAGGCGACUUUCUGGACGAUAACUGACGCUGAGGCGCGAAAGCGUGGGGAGCAAACA